CCUCUGCUCUCCAUCUCUUGCCUCGGUUCCAAGGACCCUAUUUCAGUAUGCAAUUUUCUGAUCUCAUCGGAGGUGCAAUUACCGACCAGAUCGAGUGUCCAUGUAUGGGAAUGGAUCAUAACAUGUUGAGAGUUCGUCUUUGUGAAGCAUGAUUUGAUGAAGAAUCGAUUAAACGAAGGGAUAAUGGUUCAUUAAUCGCUCAUAUUGCUAAACUUGAAGCUCAGGUGGAGAUGGUCAAAUGAAUGAUUUAGUUUGCUGCUAUUAUCAUUGGAACCGCGAUUGGUUUAAACGUGGUAAGUGGAGUUAGUUGAGCCAGUCCUCAGAGUGUUGUCAUAACCGAAAGGUAACCUCAAACAGAUUACUUCUUUGGUUGUGAAGAUCGUGUGAUUUUGGAAUAAGAAGUCUGGGCUGAGAUUCGUUUCGUUUGAGUCUCUCGACUGCUGCUUCUUCUGAG
Long non-coding RNA from Helianthus annuus (common sunflower), 454 nucleotides. RefSeq lists it as uncharacterized. The transcript has 4 exons. Lineage: Eukaryota; Viridiplantae; Streptophyta; Magnoliopsida; Asterales; Asteraceae. The record is from RefSeq and is a predicted model, not a curated record.